RNAcentral lists this transfer RNA (91 nucleotides) under Fejervarya multistriata. RNAcentral describes it as "tRNA-Ser". The record is from RNAcentral. Lineage: Eukaryota; Metazoa; Chordata; Amphibia; Anura; Dicroglossidae.
GAGCUAAUCCCCCUCUGUCCACCGAGCCCUUCAGGCGAGAAUAAGUACUGCUAAUUCUUUAUUCCCAUGGUUCAACUCCAUGGCUGGCUCG